RNAcentral lists this unclassified non-coding RNA (305 nucleotides) under Chytridiomycota sp. RNAcentral's name for it is "partial contains small subunit ribosomal RNA, internal transcribed spacer 1, and 5.8S ribosomal RNA". The stretch from base 1 to 47 matches the Rfam family "Eukaryotic small subunit ribosomal RNA", at positions 1785 to 1831 of the family's 1831-position model. Lineage: Eukaryota; Fungi; Chytridiomycota. The record is from RNAcentral.
AAAGUCGUAACAAGGUAACCGUAGGUGAACCUGCGGUUGGAUCAUUAAAAUAGACAACGUCCGAAUCAUGAGUGCAUAUGACGUUGUAAAACUAAACUAUCUCAUACCACCUUUGUGAACUGUAUUUGUCUCUGGCGGGAGGGGUAAAAUUUCGGUUUUAUCUGUCAGUUUGGAAACUUCUUUUUAGAAGGGCCGAAACCGUGGACAACCCGCCAAACACUUGUAUCAACCUUGAUUUUUGUUUAUGUCUAACAUUUUUUGUAUAAAUAUACAAACAACUUUUGGCAACGGAUCUCUUGGCUCUC